Molecule: ribosomal RNA, 468 nt
Filed under: uncultured bacterium
Lineage: Bacteria
Description: partial 16S ribosomal RNA
Rfam family: Bacterial small subunit ribosomal RNA
Source: RNAcentral
GACGAACGCUGGCGGCGUGCUUAACACAUGCCAGUCGAACGGAAAGGCCCUGCUUUUGUGGGGUGCUCGAGUGGCGAACGGGUGAGUAACACGUGAGUAACCUGCCCUUGACUUUGGGAUAACUUCAGGAAACUGGGGCUAAUACCGGAUAGGAGCUCCUGCUGCAUGGUGGGGGUUGGAAAGUUUCGGCGGUUGGGGAUGGACUCGCGGUUUAUCAGCUUGUUGGUGGGGUAAUGGCUUACCAAGGCUUUGACGGGUAGCCGGCCUGAGAGGGUGACCGGCCACAUUGGGACUGAGAUACGGCCCAGACUCCUACGGGAGGCAGCAGUGGGGAAUAUUGCACAAUGGGCGGAAGCCUGAUGCAGCAACGCCGCGUGCGGGAUGACGGCCUUCGGGUUGUAAACCGCUUUCGCCUGUGACGAAGCGUGAGUGACGGUAAUGGGUAAAGAAGCACCGGCUAACUACGUG